GACGAACGCUGGCGGCGUGCUUAACACAUGCAAGUCGAACGGAAAGGCCCUGCUUUUGUGGGGUGCUCGAAUGGCGAACGAGUGAGUAACAAGUGAGUAACCUGCCCUUGACUUUGGGAUAACUUCAGGAAACUGGGGCUAAUACCGGAUAGGAGCUCCUGCUGCAUGGUGGGGGUGGGAAAGGUUCGGCGGUUGGGGAUGGACUCGUGGCUUAUCAGCUUGUUGGUGGGGUAGUGGCUUACCAAGGCUUUGACGGGUAGCCGGCCUGAGAGGGUGACCGGCCACGUUGGGACUGAGAUACGGGCCAGACUCCUACGGGAGGGAGCAGUGGGGAAUAUUGCACAAUGGGCGGAAGCCUGAUGCAGCGACGCCGCGUGCGGGAUGACGGCCUUCGGGUUGUAAACCGCUUUCGCCUGUGACGAAGCGUGAGUGACGGUAAUGGGUAAAGAAGCACCGGCUAACUACGUG
Molecule: ribosomal RNA, 468 nt
Filed under: uncultured bacterium
Lineage: Bacteria
Description: partial 16S ribosomal RNA
Rfam family: Bacterial small subunit ribosomal RNA
Source: RNAcentral